CCUACGGGAGGCAGCAGUAGGGAAUCUUCCACAAUGGGCGCAAGCCUGAUGGAGCAACACCGCGUGAGUGAAGAAGGGUCUCGGCUCGUAAAGCUCUGUUGUUGGAGAAGAACGUGCGUGAGAGUAACUGUUCACGCAGUGACGGUAUCCAACCAGAAAGUCACGGCUAACUACGUGCCAGCAGCCGCGGUAAUACGUAGGUGGCAAGCGUUAUCCGGAUUUAUUGGGCGUAAAGCGAGUGCAGGCGGUUGCUUAGGUCUGAUGUGAAAGCCUUCGGCUUAACCGAAGAAGUGCAUCGGAAACCGGGCAACUUGAGGGCAGAAGGGGACAGUGGAACUCCAUGUGUAGCGGUGGAAUGCGUAGAUAUAUGGAAGAACACCAGUGGCGAAGGCGGCUGUCUGGUCUGCAACUGACGCUGAGGCUCGAAAGCAUGGGUAGCGAACAGGAUUAGAUACCCUAGUAGUC
This 465-nucleotide ribosomal RNA is filed under the name uncultured bacterium. RNAcentral describes it as "partial 16S ribosomal RNA". It matches the Rfam family "Bacterial small subunit ribosomal RNA", at positions 338 to 795 of the family's 1533-position model. The record is from RNAcentral.